Molecule: ribosomal RNA, 624 nt
Filed under: uncultured bacterium
Lineage: Bacteria
Description: bacterial SSU rRNA
Rfam family: Bacterial small subunit ribosomal RNA
Source: RNAcentral
GAUUAAUACCUGAUGGUAUGAUGAGAUUGCAUGAUAGCAUCAUUAAAGAUUUAUCAGUGUACGAUGGGGAUGCGUUCCAUUAGGUAGUAGGCGGGGUAACGGCCCACCUAGCCAACGAUGGAUAGGGGUUCUGAGAGGAAGGUCCCCCACAUUGGAACUGAGACACGGUCCAAACUCCUACGGGAGGCAGCAGUGAGGAAUAUUGGUCAAUGGACGAGAGUCUGAACCAGCCAAGUAGCGUGAAGGAUGAAGGUCCUACGGAUUGUAAACUUCUUUUAUAAGGGAAUAAACCCUCCCACGUGUGGGAGCUUGUAUGUACCUUAUGAAUAAGCAUCGGCUAACUCCGUGCCAGCAGCCGCGGUAAUACGGAGGAUGCGAGCGUUAUCCGGAUUUAUUGGGUUUAAAGGGAGCGCAGACGGGUCGUUAAGUCAGCUGUGAAAGUUUGGGGCUCAACCUUAAAAUUGCAGUUGAUACUGGCGUCCUUGAGUGCGGUUGAGGUGUGCGGAAUUCGUGGUGUAGCGGUGAAAUGCUUAGAUAUCACGAAGAACUCCGAUUGCGAAGGCAGCACACUAAUCCGUAACUGACGUUCAUGCUCGAAAGUGUGGGUAUCAAACAGGAUUAGAU